RNAcentral lists this ribosomal RNA (518 nucleotides) under uncultured organism. RNAcentral describes it as "SSU rRNA". It matches the Rfam family "Bacterial small subunit ribosomal RNA", at positions 1 to 509 of the family's 1533-position model. The record is from RNAcentral.
AGCUAGAGUUUGAUCCUGGCUCAGGACGAACGCUGGCGGCGUGCCUAACACAUGCAAGUCGAGCGGGGACAUACGACGGACAGGAAGUUUUCGGAUGGAAUGGAAGAUGUAUGUUCUAGCGGCGGACGGGUGAGUAACGCGUGAGCAACCUGUCCCUUACAGGGGGAUAACACAGCGAAAGCUGUACUAAUACCGCAUAAGACCACAGAGAGACAUCUCACAGGGGUCAAAGGAGCAAUCCGGUAAGGGGUGGGCUCGCGUCCGAUUAGAUAGUUGGUGAGGUAACGGCCCACCAAGUCAACGAUCGGUAGCCGACCUGAGAGGGUGAUCGGCCACAUUGGGACUGAGACACGGCCCAAACUCCUACGGGAGGCAGCAGUGGGGAAUAUUGGGCAAUGGGGGGAACCCUGACCCAGCAACGCCGCGUGAGGGAAGAAGGUUUUCGGAUCGUAAACCUCUGUCCUUGGUGAAGAGGAAGAGACGGUAGCCAAGGAGGAAGCCCCGGCUAACUACGUGCC